This 430-nucleotide ribosomal RNA is filed under the name uncultured Acidobacterium sp. Its description in RNAcentral is "bacterial SSU rRNA". It matches the Rfam family "Bacterial small subunit ribosomal RNA", at positions 958 to 1385 of the family's 1533-position model. The record is from RNAcentral. Lineage: Bacteria; Pseudomonadati; Acidobacteriota; Terriglobia; Terriglobales; Acidobacteriaceae.
AACGCGAAGAACCUUACCUGGGCUCGAACGGCUUAAGAACAUCUUUGGAAACAUUGACUUCUCGCAAGAGACUUGAGUCGAGGUGCUGCAUGGCUGUCGUCAGCUCGUGUCGUGAGAUGUUGGGUUAAGUCCCGCAACGAGCGCAACCCUUGUCCUGUGUUGCCACUCCCGUAAGGGAAGCACUCUCAGGAGACCGCCAGCGAUAAGUUGGAGGAAGGUGGGGAUGAUGUCAAGUCAUCAUGGCCUUUAUGUCCAGGGCUACACACGUGCUACAAUGGGCGGUACAAAGCGCUGCAAACCCGCGAGGGGGAGCCAAUCGCAAAAAACCGUCCUCAGUUCGGAUCGCAGGCUGCAACUCGCCUGCGUGAAGCUGGAAUCGCUAGUAAUGGCGCAUCAGAACGGCGCCGUGAAUACGUUCCCGGGCCUUGUA